GGUUGAUGUGAUGAUAAGCUUUCACAGAAACUCUAGUGUUGACCAAAAUUCAGACUACAAUUAUCUGAUCACCU
Panicum hallii is the source of this 74-nucleotide small nucleolar RNA. RefSeq annotates it as small nucleolar RNA Z155. The transcript has a single exon. The record is from RefSeq and is a predicted model, not a curated record. NCBI's taxonomy places the organism in Eukaryota, Viridiplantae, Streptophyta, Magnoliopsida, Poales, Poaceae.